GAUGAACGCUGGCGGCGUGCCUAAUACAUGCAAGUCGAGCGAACAGACGAGGAGCUUUCUCCUCUGACUUUAUCGGCGGACGGGUUAUUAACACGUGGUUAACCUACCUAUAAGACUGGGAUAACUUCGGGAAACCGGAGCUACUACCGGAUAAUAUAUUGAACCGCAUGGUUCACUCGUGAAAGUCGGUUUUUCUUUCACUUAUAGCUGGCUCAGCGCCGCAUUAGCUAGUUGGUAAGGUAACGGCUUACCAAGGCAACGAUGCGUAGCCGACCUGAGAGGGUGGUCGGGCAGACUGGAAGAGAGACACAGUCGAGACACCGACAGGAGGCAGCAGUAGGGAAUCUUACGGGAUGGGGGAAAGCGGGACAUAGGAAAGCCGGGGGAGGGAUGAAGGACUAAGGAUCGGAAAACGAUGAUAGUAGGGGAGAAGAAAUGUGUAAGUAACUAGGAACGUAUUGACGGUACCGAAUGAAAAAGCCACGGCUAACUACGUG
This 497-nucleotide ribosomal RNA is filed under the name uncultured bacterium. RNAcentral's name for it is "partial 16S ribosomal RNA". It matches the Rfam family "Bacterial small subunit ribosomal RNA", at positions 28 to 507 of the family's 1533-position model. The record is from RNAcentral.